AUGGAGAUCAACAAGGAUGAAGGGAUCAAGAAGGCCAUGGAGGACCAAGUUCCGGCAACAAAAGACACCCUUCAACUUGAUCACAAUCUUCUCACCCCAACAGAAAUCGAAGCUUUCAAGAUGAUUGAGUUAGCUCGUAUACAAAAUAAGUAUCUCACACGUGAAAAUAUUUUGUUGAAGGAGCAUAUCAUCGCACUCAAGGGCAUUAUCCGCAAAUCGGGGCGACUGCUAAGUGCUAACUCUCUCUCUCAUUCUCAUUCUCAUUUUCGUUGGUGCUGA
RNAcentral lists this ribosomal RNA (279 nucleotides) under Triticum aestivum (bread wheat). RNAcentral's name for it is "partial small subunit ribosomal RNA". The record is from RNAcentral. Lineage: Eukaryota; Viridiplantae; Streptophyta; Magnoliopsida; Poales; Poaceae.